This 718-nucleotide ribosomal RNA is filed under the name Rhodococcus sp. 47AAIII. RNAcentral describes it as "bacterial SSU rRNA". It matches the Rfam family "Bacterial small subunit ribosomal RNA", at positions 57 to 793 of the family's 1533-position model. Lineage: Bacteria; Bacillati; Actinomycetota; Actinomycetes; Mycobacteriales; Nocardiaceae. The record is from RNAcentral.
GCAGUCGAGCGGUAAGGCCUUUCGGGGUACACGAGCGGCGAACGGGUGAGUAACACGUGGGUGAUCUGCCCUGCACUUCGGGAUAAGCCUGGGAAACUGGGUCUAAUACCGGAUAUGACCUCAGGUUGCAUGACUUGGGGUGGAAAGAUUUAUCGGUGCAGGAUGGGCCCGCGGCCUAUCAGCUUGUUGGUGGGGUAAUGGCCUACCAAGGCGACGACGGGUAGCCGACCUGAGAGGGUGACCGGCCACACUGGGACUGAGACACGGCCCAGACUCCUACGGGAGGCAGCAGUGGGGAAUAUUGCACAAUGGGCGAAAGCCUGAUGCAGCGACGCCGCGUGAGGGACGACGGCCUUCGGGUUGUAAACCUCUUUCAGCAGGGACGAAGCGCAAGUGACGGUACCUGCAGAAGAAGCACCGGCUAACUACGUGCCAGCAGCCGCGGUAAUACGUAGGGUGCAAGCGUUGUCCGGAAUUACUGGGCGUAAAGAGUUCGUAGGCGGUUUGUCACGUCGUUUGUGAAAACUCACAGCUCAACUGUGAGCCUGCAGGCGAUACGGGCAGACUUGAGUACUGCAGGGGAGACUGGAAUUCCUGGUGUAGCGGUGAAAUGCGCAGAUAUCAGGAGGAACACCGGUGGCGAAGGCGGGUCUCUGGGCAGUAACUGACGCUGAGGAACGAAAGCGUGGGUAGCGAACAGGAUUAGAUACCCUGGUAG